GCGCCCAUAGCUCAAUUGGUAGAGCAGCGGACUCUUAAUCCGUUGGUUCGGGGUUCAAGUCCCUGUGGGCGUACCA
This 76-nucleotide transfer RNA is filed under the name Gemmatimonadota bacterium. RNAcentral describes it as "Gemmatimonadetes bacterium tRNA-Lys". It matches the Rfam family "tRNA". From Rfam's summary of the family: Transfer RNA (tRNA) molecules are approximately 80 nucleotides in length. Their secondary structure includes four short double-helical elements and three loops (D, anti-codon, and T loops). The record is from RNAcentral. Lineage: Bacteria; Pseudomonadati; Gemmatimonadota.